UGCAGUCGACGGUGAAGCAGAGCUUGCUCUGUGGAUCAGUGGCGAACGGGUGAGUAACACGUGAGCAAUCUGCCCCUGACUCUGGGAUAAGCGCUGGAAACGGCGUCUAAUACCGGAUACGAGCUGCGACCGCAUGGUCAGUAGCUGGAAAGAAUUUCGGUCAGGGAUGAGCUCGCGGCCUAUCAGCUUGUUGGUGAGGUAAUGGCUCACCAAGGCGUCGACGGGUAGCCGGCCUGAGAGGGUGACCGGCCACACUGGGACUGAGACACGGCCCAGACUCCUACGGGAGGCAGCAGUGGGGAAUAUUGCACAAUGGGCGAAAGCCUGAUGCAGCAACGCCGCGUGAGGGAUGACGGCCUUCGGGUUGUAAACCUCUUUUAGCAGGGAAGAAGCGAAAGUGACGGUACCUGCAGAAAAAGCGCCGGCUAACUACGUGCCAGCAGCCGCGGUAAUACGUAGGGCGCAAGCGUUAUCCGGAAUUAUUGGGCGUAAAGAGCUCGUAGGCGGUCUGUCGCGUCUGCUGUGAAAACCCGAGGCUCAACCUCGGGCCUGCAGUGGGUACGGGCAGACUAGAGUGCGGUAGGGGAGAUUGGAAUUCCUGGUGUAGCGGUGGAAUGCGCAGAUAUCAGGAGGAACACCGAUGGCGAAGGCAGAUCUCUGGGCCGUAACUGACGCUGAGGAGCGAAAGGGUGGGGAGCAAACAGGCUUAGAUACCCUGGUAGUCCACCCCGUAAACGUUGGGAACUAGUUGUGGGGUCCAUUCCACGGAUUCCGUGACGCAGCUAACGCAUUAAGUUCCCCGCCUGGGGAGUACGGCCGCAAGGCUAAAACUCAAAGGAAUUGACGGGGACCCGCACAAGCGGCGGAGCAUGCGGAUUAAUUCGAUGCAACGCGAAGAACCUUACCAAGGCUUGACAUAUAGAGGAAACGUCUGGAAACAGUCGCCCCGCAAGGUCUCUAUACAGGUGGUGCAUGGUUGUCGUCAGCUCGUGUCGUGAGAUGUUGGGUUAAGUCCCGCAACGAGCGCAACCCUCGUUCUAUGUUGCCAGCACGUAAUGGUGGGAACUCAUGGGAUACUGCCGGGGUCAACUCGGAGGAAGGUGGGGAUGACGUCAAAUCAUCAUGCCCCUUAUGUCUUGGGCUUCACGCAUGCUACAAUGGCCGGUACAAAGGGCUGCAAUACCGUGAGGUGGAGCGAAUCCCAAAAAGCCGGUCCCAGUUCGGAUUGAGGUCUGCAACUCGACCUCAUGAAGUCGGAGUCGCUAGUAAUCGCAGAUCAGCAACGCUGCGGUGAAUACGUUCCCGGGUCUUGUACACACCGCCCGUCAAGUCAUGAAAGUCGGUAACACCUGAAGCCGGUGGCCCAACCCUUGUGGAGGGAGCCGUCGA
Molecule: ribosomal RNA, 1389 nt
Filed under: Microbacterium arborescens
Lineage: Bacteria; Bacillati; Actinomycetota; Actinomycetes; Micrococcales; Microbacteriaceae
Description: bacterial SSU rRNA
Rfam family: Bacterial small subunit ribosomal RNA
Source: RNAcentral